AUCUUAUCAAGAGAAGCUGAGGGAACUGGCCCGAAGAAGCUUCAGCAACCUCUGUUUACUCAGAAAGGUGCUAAAUCCAGCGAGUGUAUCUUGGUAGAUAAGAG
Molecule: regulatory RNA element, 104 nt
Rfam family: SAM riboswitch aptamer (S box leader)
About the family: The SAM riboswitch is found upstream of a number of genes which code for proteins involved in methionine or cysteine biosynthesis in Gram-positive bacteria. The SAM riboswitch acts at the level of transcription termination control.
Source: Rfam